This 365-nucleotide unclassified non-coding RNA is filed under the name soil metagenome. Its description in RNAcentral is "partial contains 5.8S ribosomal RNA, internal transcribed spacer 2, and large subunit ribosomal RNA". The stretch from base 1 to 120 matches the Rfam family "5.8S ribosomal RNA", at positions 35 to 154 of the family's 154-position model. The record is from RNAcentral.
GAUGAAGAACGCAGUGAAAUGCGAUAAGUAAUGUGAAUUGCAGAAUUCAGUGAAUCAUCGAAUCUUUGAACGCACAUUGCGCCCGCCAGCAUUCUGGCGGGCAUGCCUGUUCGAGCGUCAUUUCAACCCUCGCAGCCCAUCUGGGCAGCGGUGUUGGGGACCGGCACCACCGGCGAAGCCCUUAGGGGCCCAGCCGGCGCCGCCCCCGAAAUACAGUGGCGGUCUCGCUGCAGCCUCCCUUGCGUAGUAGCACACCUCGCACCGGAGCGCAGCGCGGCCACGCCGUAAAACCCCCGACUUUCUGAGUUUGACCUCGAAUCAGGUAGGAAUACCCGCUGAACUUAAGCAUAUCAAUAAGCGGAGGA